GCGAGAGACGGCAUCCCUGUCUUGUGCCAGUUUUCAAAGGGAAUACUUCCAGUUUUUGCCCAUUCAGUAUGAUAUUGACUGUGGGUUUGUCAUAAAUAGCUCUUAUUAUUUUGAGAUACGUUUCAUCAAUAUCUAGUGUAUUGAGAGUUUUUAGCAUGAAGGGCUGUUGAAUUUUGUCAAAGGCCUUUUCUGCAUCUAUUGAGAUAAUCAUGUGGUUUUUGUCAUUGGUUCAGUUUAUGUGAUGGAUUAUGUUUAUUGAUUUGCAUAUGUUGAACCAGCCUUGCAUCCCAGGGACAAAGCCAACUUGAUUGCAAUGGAUAAACUUUUUGAUGUGCUGCUGGAUUCAGUUUGCCAGUAUUUUAUUGAGGAUUUUCGCAUUGAUGUUCAUCAGGGAUAUUGGCAGAGAAAAUGCAACAAGUAGAGAUAAAAUCAGACUAAGUAUUCCAUGGUGUAUAUGUACCACAUUUUCUUAAUCCAGUCUAUCAUACUAUGCAGCCAUAAAAAAUGAUGAGUUCAUGUCCUUUGUAGGGACAUGGAUGAAACUGGAAACCAUCAUUCUCAGCAAACUAUCGCAAGGAGAAAAAACCAAACACCUCGUGUUCUCACUCAUAGGUUCAUUUGACUAUUUUUAUUCUCUAUGAAACUAUUCCUCUGAGCAAAAUAUUUUUCUGAACAUUGUUGGACAUUUUGGGCAAAUGUGUUUCCUGGUGUGAAGAAAUGUUUUUUUGAGAUGUGGUAUUGAUAUUUUUCCCUGGACUCAAAAGUUGCUCAGGCAAAACUAAGACUCCUGGGCUCAAGAGAUCCUUCUGCCUCAGUUCUUCUUGUAGCUGGAAAUACAGGUACACCUGGAAAUCACUUAGAAAUAAAUGCUUGUUGAUUUCAAUCACCUUCCAAACCUGGAGGAGGGUUAUUCUGAGGGGCAUUGAACUAAUUGAACUAUUCUGAGGGAAUGGUACUAAACGAUUCAUGAGAAGCCACCCCCAUGAUGCAAUCACCUCCCUUGAGGCCUCACCUCCAACACUGGGGAUUAUAUCUCAACAUGAGAUUUGGGUGGGGACAACACCCAAUUUAUAUCAGACAUCAACACGCCUUACAUUAAUGCACCCCUCAAAUUACCAUAGUGAUUUCCACAGGACUGUGUCCUAUACGGGUAUUCUUUUCAUAGGCCAGUUUUCCAUUGCUCUCUUAAUUAUAUGGCCAGGCCAUCAGUCAAUGCCC
This 1218-nucleotide long non-coding RNA is filed under the name Homo sapiens (human). Its description in RNAcentral is "non-protein coding lnc-GNL1-2:1". Lineage: Eukaryota; Metazoa; Chordata; Mammalia; Primates; Hominidae. The record is from RNAcentral.